RNAcentral lists this ribosomal RNA (733 nucleotides) under uncultured beta proteobacterium. Its description in RNAcentral is "bacterial SSU rRNA". It matches the Rfam family "Bacterial small subunit ribosomal RNA", at positions 28 to 758 of the family's 1533-position model. The record is from RNAcentral. Lineage: Bacteria; Pseudomonadati; Pseudomonadota; Betaproteobacteria.
AUUGAACGCUGGCGGCAUGCCUUACACAUGCAAGUCGAACGGUAACAGGUCUUCGGAUGCUGACGAGUGGCGAACGGGUGAGUAAUACAUCGGAACGUGCCCAGUAAUGGGGGAUAGCUCGGCGAAAGCCGGAUUAAUACCGCAUACGCCCUGAGGGGGAAAGUGGGGGAUCGCAAGACCUCACGUUAUUGGAGCGGCCGAUGGCUGAUUAGCUAGUUGGUAGGGUAAAGGCCUACCAAGGCGACGAUCAGUAGCUGGUCUGAGAGGACGAUCAGCCACACUGGGACUGAGACACGGCCCAGACUCCUACGGGAGGCAGCAGUGGGGAAUUUUGGACAAUGGGGGAAACCCUGAUCCAGCAAUGCCGCGUGUGCGAAGAAGGCCUUCGGGUUGUAAAGCACUUUUGUCAGGGAAGAAAUCCUUUGGGCUAAUACCCUAGGGGGAUGACGGUACCUGAAGAAUAAGCACCGGCUAACUACGUGCCAGCAGCCGCGGUAAUACGUAGGGUGCAAGCGUUAAUCGGAAUUACUGGGCGUAAAGCGUGCGCAGGCGGUUGUGUAAGACAGGUGUGAAAUCCCCGGGCUUAACCUGGGAAUUGCAUUUGUGACUGCACGACUAGAGUGUGUCAGAGGGGGGUGGAAUUCCACGUGUAGCAGUGAAAUGCGUAGAUAUGUGGAGGAACACCAAUGGCGAAGGCAGCCCCCUGGGAUAACACUGACGCUCAUGCACGAAA